CCUACGGGGGGCAGCAGUGAGGAAUAUUGGUCAAUGGACGAGAGUCUGAACCAGCCAAGUAGCGUGAAGGAUGACUGCCCUAUGGGUUGUAAACUUCUUUUAUAUGGGAAUAAAACGUUCCACGUGUGGGAUUUUGUAUGUACCAUAUGAAUAAGGAUCGGCUAACUCCGUGCCAGCAGCCGCGGUAAUACGGAGGAUCCGAGCGUUAUCCGGAUUUAUUGGGUUUAAAGGGAGCGUAGGUGGAUUGUUAAGUCAGUUGUGAAAGUUUGCGGCUCAACCGUAAAAGUGCAGUUGAAACUGGCAGUCUUGAGUACAGUAGAGGUGGGCGGAAUUCGUGGUGUAGCGGUGAAAUGCUUAGAUAUCACGAAGAACUCCGAUUGCGAAGGCAGUUCACUGGACUGCAACUGACACUGAGGCUCGAAAGUGUGGGUAUCAAACAGGAUUAAAUACCCGUGUAGUC
RNAcentral lists this ribosomal RNA (460 nucleotides) under uncultured bacterium. RNAcentral's name for it is "partial 16S ribosomal RNA". It matches the Rfam family "Bacterial small subunit ribosomal RNA", at positions 338 to 795 of the family's 1533-position model. The record is from RNAcentral.